GAUGAACGCUGGCGGCGUGCCUAAUACAUGCAAGUCGAGCGAACAGACGAGGAGCUUGCUCCUCUGACGUUAGCGGCGGACGGGUGAGUAACAAGUGGAUAACCUACCUAUAAGACUUGGAUAACUUCGAGAAACCGGAGCAACUACCGGAUAAGCUAUUGAACCGCAUGGUUCAGUAGUGAAAGACGGUUUUGCUGUCACUUCUAGAUGGAUCCGCGCCGCAUUAGCUAGUUGGUAAGGUAACGGCUUACCAAGGCGACGAUGCGUAGCCGACCUGAGAGGGUGGUCGGCCACACUGGAACUGAGACACGGUCCAUGCUCCUACGGGAGGCAGCAGUAGGGAAUCUUCCGCAAUGGGCGAAAGCCUGACGGAGCAACGCCGCGUGAGUGAUGAAGGUCUUCGGAUCGUAAAACUCUGUUAUUAGGGAAGAACAAAUGUGUAAGUAACUAUGCACGUCUUGACGGUACCUAAUCAGAAAGCCACGGCUAACUACGUG
RNAcentral lists this ribosomal RNA (497 nucleotides) under uncultured bacterium. Its description in RNAcentral is "partial 16S ribosomal RNA". It matches the Rfam family "Bacterial small subunit ribosomal RNA", at positions 28 to 507 of the family's 1533-position model. The record is from RNAcentral.